UCCCUGGUGUCUCAGAUGGUAAAGAAUCCACCUGCAAUGCUGAAGACCUGGGUUUGAUCCCUGGCUUGGGAA
This 72-nucleotide transfer RNA is filed under the name Bos taurus (domestic cattle). It matches the Rfam family "tRNA". Rfam says of the family: Transfer RNA (tRNA) molecules are approximately 80 nucleotides in length. Their secondary structure includes four short double-helical elements and three loops (D, anti-codon, and T loops). The record is from Rfam by way of RNAcentral. Lineage: Eukaryota; Metazoa; Chordata; Mammalia; Artiodactyla; Bovidae. RNAcentral also lists the same sequence under 2 other names.